CGCGGCCUAUCAGCUUGUUGGUGGGGUAAUGGCCUACCAAGACGACGACGGGUAGCCGGCCUGAGAGGGCGACCGGCCACACUGGGACUGAGACACGGCCCAGACUCCUACGGGAGGCAGCAGUAGGGAAUCUUGCGCAAUGGGGGCAACCCUGACGCAGCAACGCCGCGUGUGGGAUGACGGCUUUCGGGUUGUAAACCACUUUCAGUGAUGACGAAAAUGACGGUAAUCACAGAAGAAGGUCCGGCCAACUACGUGCCAGCAGCCGCGGUAACACGUAGGGACCGAGCGUUGUCCGGAUUUAUUGGGCGUAAAGAGCUCGUAGGCGGUUCUGUAAGUCGGAUGUGAAAACUCAGGGCUCAACCCUGAGACGCCAUCUGAUACUGCAGUGACUAGAGUCCGGUAGAGGAAGAUGGAAUUCCUGGUGUAGCGGUGGAAUGCGCAGAUAUCAGGAGGAACACCAACGGCGAAGGCAGUCUUCUGGGCCGGUACUGACGCUGAGGAGCGAAAGCAUGGGGAGCAAACAGGAUUAGAUACCCUGGUAGUCCAUGCCGUAAACGUUGGGCACUAGGUGUGGGGUCUUCUAACGGAUUCCGUGCCGUAGCUAACGCAUUAAGUGCCCCGCCUGGGGAGUACGG
This 638-nucleotide ribosomal RNA is filed under the name uncultured Actinomycetes bacterium. RNAcentral's name for it is "bacterial SSU rRNA". It matches the Rfam family "Bacterial small subunit ribosomal RNA", at positions 232 to 885 of the family's 1533-position model. Lineage: Bacteria; Bacillati; Actinomycetota; Actinomycetes. The record is from RNAcentral.